UAUCUCUGUAGAGUCUGCAUAUCAAUAAGCGGAGGAAAAGAAACUAACAAGGAUUCCCUUAGUAACGGCGAGUGAAGCGGGAAGAGCUCAAAUUUGAAAUCUUCAAGGUUCUACCUUGACGAAUUGUAGUUUAAAGAAGUGUUUUUCUGUUAGAUGAGUAGCAAAAGUUCCUUGGAAUGGGACAUCAUAGAGGGUGAGAAUCCCGUAUUUGGUUAUUCAUUCUAGCUUUGUGAUACACUUUCAAAGAGUCGGAUUGUUUGGGAAUGCAGUCCAAAAUGGGUGGUAAAUUUCAUCUAAAGCUAAAUAUUGGCGAGAGACCGAUAGCGAACAAGUACCGUGAGGGAAAGAUGAAAAGAACUUUGAAAAGAGAGUUAAACAGUACGUGAAAUUGUCAAAAGGGAAGCGUUUGACACCAGUGUUGUUUUUCCGAAAAUCAAUUACGAAUGGCUUGAUUUUGUGUUGUAUUGACCUUAUCAGCUUUCUUCACUUUUUUCGAGUCUUUCUUAAUGCACUUUUCGGUUAACAAGUCAACAUCAAUUUCUUUUGUUGUAAAAGGGUAUUCAGAAGGUGGCUUUCUUUUCGGAGAAAGUGUUUAUAGCCCUAUACUUCUACAAUCGGAGAGAUUGAGGUCUGCAGCGUAGAUCCUUCGGGGUUAGAUACACUUGUGCUAAGUUGUAGCUUUUCAUAGACAACUUGUUGACUAUGUUUAGUCAUGCGGCUUACUCGCUUGUGCUAUUUUACCUACGCUUAGGAUGUUGACUGAUAUGUAGUCGUA
RNAcentral lists this ribosomal RNA (775 nucleotides) under uncultured Neocallimastigales. RNAcentral describes it as "partial large subunit ribosomal RNA". It matches the Rfam family "Eukaryotic large subunit ribosomal RNA", at positions 24 to 644 of the family's 3401-position model. Lineage: Eukaryota; Fungi; Neocallimastigomycota; Neocallimastigomycetes; Neocallimastigales. The record is from RNAcentral.